UUGAACGCUGGCGGAAUGCUUUACACAUGCCGGUCGCGCGGCAGCGCGGCCUUCGGGCUGGCGGCGAGCGGCGAACGGGUGAGUAAUGCAUCGGAACAUGCCCAGUCGUGGGGGAUAACACUUCGAAAGAAGUGCUAAUACCGCAUACGUCCUGAGGGGGAAAGCGGGGGAUCGCAAGACCUCGCGCGAUUGGAGUGGCCGAUGUCAGAUUAGCUAGUUGGUGGGGUAAAGGCCUACCAAGGCGACGAUCUGUAGCUGGUCUGAGAGGAUGAUCAGCCACACUGGGACUGAGACACGGCCCAGACUCCUACGGGAGGCAGCAGUGGGGAAUUUUGGACAAUGGGGGCAACCCUGAUCCAGCCAUUCCGCGUGAGUGAAGAAGGCCUUCGGGUUGUAAAGCUCUUUCGGCAGGAACGAAACGGUGGGCUCUAACAUAGUCCGCUAAUGACGGUACCUGAAGAAGAAGCACCGGCUAACUACGUG
This 483-nucleotide ribosomal RNA is filed under the name uncultured bacterium. Its description in RNAcentral is "partial 16S ribosomal RNA". It matches the Rfam family "Bacterial small subunit ribosomal RNA", at positions 29 to 507 of the family's 1533-position model. The record is from RNAcentral.